GACGACGCUGGCGGCGUGGAUUAGGCAUGCAAGUCGAACGGUAUCAUCCUUUCGGGGGUGAGAGAGUGGCGAACUGGUGAGUAACACGUAGGUUAUCUACCCUCAAGACGGGGACAACCCAGGGGAAACUUGGGCUAAUACCGGAUGUGAGCAACUUUUAGUUGUUUGAAAGGUGGCGUAAGCUGUCGCUUGGGGAUGAGCCUGCGUCCUAUUAGUUAGUUGGUGAGGUAACGGCUCACCUAGGCAAUGAUAGGUAGGCGGCCUUAACGGGUGGUCGCCCACACUGGGAUUGAGAUACGGCCCAGACUCCUACGGGAGGCAGCAGUCGAGAAUAGUCUACAAUGGUCGGAAGACUGAUAGUGCGACGCCGCGUGAACGAUGAAUCCCUUCGGGGUGUAAAGUUCUUUUAUAUGUGAGCAGUGCUUCUUAUAUUAACAGUAUGGGGAGAGAGAUAUUAGCAUAUGAAUAAGCAACGGCUAACUCCGUG
Molecule: ribosomal RNA, 487 nt
Filed under: uncultured bacterium
Lineage: Bacteria
Description: bacterial SSU rRNA
Rfam family: Bacterial small subunit ribosomal RNA
Source: RNAcentral